Molecule: small nucleolar RNA, 138 nt
Organism: Ochotona princeps (American pika)
Lineage: Eukaryota; Metazoa; Chordata; Mammalia; Lagomorpha; Ochotonidae
Source: RefSeq, a predicted model, not a curated record
CUGGCCUCGACUCAAGACCAGCAGUUUGCUGAAGCUGUCGCUUUCAAGCAGGAGCCUAAAGAAAUGUCUUUCCACGGUCUGUUGAGCAUUUCAGAGCUGUGGCAAUGUGAUCGUCAGGUUCAUUGGGAAGAAACACCA